UUCUGAUACAUGUCAUCCACUGAAAGCAAAGACACCUGAGCAGACAAAGGAAUAUUUCUCAUCAAAGGAGACCUGCAUAAGACUUGUUGUAGGAACUGACGCCCAAUCACACACAAAGCAAAGAAGGAAUAGACAGCGAUGGUGACCACCUGUAGAGAAGCGGCUGUUAAACAUUUGCCAGGGUUUCAAGAGAGCAUCAUGGAACUAUGUUUUUCAUUGCAGAAACCAAAACAUUCUCCUACAGUACAGGAGCUCUGCACAUUAUGCGCUAGCAUGUCCUGCGCACCCUACCAAUUCAAAAACAAUUAAACUGGUACUUUCACAAA
Molecule: non-coding RNA, 326 nt
Organism: Podarcis muralis (Common wall lizard)
Lineage: Eukaryota; Metazoa; Chordata; Lepidosauria; Squamata; Lacertidae
Source: RefSeq, a predicted model, not a curated record